UACAGCUCCUACAUUUGAACUAGCAUUGUGAAACCUCUUGGCUUUAAAUUUAUGGUUUGACUACAGCUCCUACCUUUUUGUUCAUUACCUUAUGAUGUUCCCUGAUUGCACACUUUGCAGGUAUUUCAAAGGUCCUGAGCUCCUUGUUUAUUUACAAGAUUAUGACUAUUCUUUGGAAUUCAUAUAAGGUGUUUAUGUUGGUGUAGAAGAGGACGGAAGCACUGAAGAUGAUGAUGGUUUAGGAGAUGCAUGGAUGGAAAUGUCAAUGGCAUUAGAAUCUUCAAAGGAUGUCGCUGUACAUCCUUUAUCUGAUCGAAGAAAGAAUGAGUGAAGGCUACAGUGAGCAUUCUUUUGUCUUCAGCUGGGACGAGUUGAAGAAGCAACUAGGUGCUUAGCUGACAUACACGAAGUAAACUGGGAUUGCCACUAAAUCAUGAUAUUGUCCAGGUUUAAAGCAUCCAU
Long non-coding RNA from Rosa rugosa (rugosa rose), 462 nucleotides. RefSeq lists it as uncharacterized. Lineage: Eukaryota; Viridiplantae; Streptophyta; Magnoliopsida; Rosales; Rosaceae. The record is from RefSeq and is a predicted model, not a curated record. The transcript has 3 exons.